RNAcentral lists this ribosomal RNA (245 nucleotides) under uncultured Sporobacter sp. RNAcentral's name for it is "partial 16S ribosomal RNA". It matches the Rfam family "Bacterial small subunit ribosomal RNA", at positions 524 to 768 of the family's 1533-position model. Lineage: Bacteria; Bacillati; Bacillota; Clostridia; Eubacteriales; Oscillospiraceae. The record is from RNAcentral.
UACGUAGGUGGCAAGCGUUGUCCGGAUUUACUGGGUGUAAAGGGCGCGUAGGCGGGUAGACAAGUCAGAUGUGAAAUACCGCAGCUUAACUGCGGAGCUGCAUUUGAAACUGCCUAUCUUGAGUAUCGGAGAGGCAGGCAGAAUUCCUAGUGUAGCGGUGAAAUGCGUAGAUAUUAGGAGGAACACCAGUGGCGAAGGCGGCCUGCUGGACGACAACUGACGCUGAGGCGCGAAAGCGUGGGGAG